GAUCUCUCUUUGUUGAUUCUCCGCUUCCUUCAACAUAUCCCCACAUGCUUCAUUGUUGUAUUUUAUUUUUAUUUUCGAAACUAUAUUAAUACAGAGGAGAGGAAGAUCGUCCUCACAAGUAUUUGCAAAAAUGAUACACAAAUCAAUGCCAAAAUGAUGACGCAGUGAAGGUUUAGACAGCUCAAGAAUGAUAUUGCACAUCAAUCACUGAUUCAAUGUUUUAUUUUUGUCUUCUUCUUUUUUUUUUUUGUUGAAUGAUACUCA
This is a long non-coding RNA of Arabidopsis thaliana (thale cress), 264 nucleotides long. RefSeq annotates it as other RNA. The record is from RefSeq. The transcript has a single exon. Lineage: Eukaryota; Viridiplantae; Streptophyta; Magnoliopsida; Brassicales; Brassicaceae.